RNAcentral lists this ribosomal RNA (448 nucleotides) under uncultured soil bacterium. RNAcentral describes it as "bacterial SSU rRNA". It matches the Rfam family "Bacterial small subunit ribosomal RNA", at positions 26 to 471 of the family's 1533-position model. The record is from RNAcentral.
AGAUUGAACGCUAGCGGGAUGCUUUACACAUGCAAGUCGAACGGCAGCGCGGACUUCGGUCUGGCGGCGAGUGGCGAACGGGUGAGUAAUAUAUCGGAACGUGCCCAGUAGCGGGGGAUAACUACGCGAAAGCGUGGCUAAUACCGCAUACGCCCUACGGGGGAAAGGGGGGAUCGCAAGACCUCUCACUAUUGGAGCGGCCGAUAUCAGAUUAGCUAGUUGGUGAGGUAAAGGCUCACCAAGGCGACGAUCUGUAGCUGGUUUGAGAGGACGACCAGCCACACUGGGACUGAGACACGGCCCAGACUCCUACGGGAGGCAGCAGUGGGGAAUUUGGACAAUGGGGGAAACCCUGAUCCAGCCAUCCCGCGUGUGCGAUGAAGGCCUUCGGGUUGUAAAGCGACUUUUGGACGAGGAAAGGAACGGCGUACGGCCUAAAGUACGGACG